AGAAGAGGUGAGUGAGUUUCGCAAGGUAUGCUACCCUUCCUUUUUUGGCGGUUUUACCUCGUAGUAACUUUCCAGAAAAACGAAAGGGUUAUGAUGAGAGAUUAUGUCAUACCCUGGCACAUGCUUUGUCCAAUGGACCAUGGAAGGGACUUUACUUGGCUGACGAGGACGCACCUCACCAGUAUCAGAGCAACAGCUGUGGGGUGUUUAUGCUGAUGUACGCAAUGUAUUCUACCCUCAAAAGCAAUAUGAUUUCAGUGAGGGGGACAUGCUCUCUAUCAGGAGGUGGUGGUUGGACAGCUGUUGGAGACCUUUAUGCUUGAAAGCCCUGCAGAACUAGCUGGCUCCUUCUCACCCUCUCCAUCUCCCCAUCUCAGUCACACCUUCCAAUCACUAAGCAGUGAAAGCCCUGCAGGACUAGCUGGCACACCAAGCUCACCCUCCAUCUCCCCAUCUCAGCCACACGCUCCAAUCUGGCACAACAGAGGACAGGCCAUUCUUACCACCCGAAGUCCUUCAGCAAAUUGUACAAGAGACGCUGAGACUGGACAUGGCGAUGCUUGGCGUGUUCAACAGGGUUUCAAACACAUUCCGAGAACUAAUCAAGCCUCUCCAUCCUUCCAUAUAUAUAAAUGACAGUUUGGCAGGGGACAUUAAGCUUAAUAAAGACAAUCUCAUAUACAUAACGGUUAGAAAGAUUUACAACAAUGCAGGCUGUGGCAGUGGCCUUGCGCUACGCCUCAAA
Long non-coding RNA from Gadus macrocephalus (Pacific cod), 745 nucleotides. RefSeq lists it as uncharacterized. The transcript has 7 exons. Lineage: Eukaryota; Metazoa; Chordata; Actinopteri; Gadiformes; Gadidae. The record is from RefSeq and is a predicted model, not a curated record.